RNAcentral lists this ribosomal RNA (467 nucleotides) under uncultured bacterium. Its description in RNAcentral is "partial 16S ribosomal RNA". It matches the Rfam family "Bacterial small subunit ribosomal RNA", at positions 29 to 507 of the family's 1533-position model. The record is from RNAcentral.
ACGAACGCUGGCGGCGUGCUUAACACAUGCAAGUCGAACGGAAAGGCCCUGCUUUUGUGGGGUGCUCGAGUGGCGAACGGGUGAGUAACACGUGAGUAACCUGCCCUUGUCUUUGGGAUAACUUCAGGAAACUGGGGCUAAUACCGGAUAGGAGCUCCUGCUGCAUGGUGGGGGUUGGAAAGUUUCGGCGGUUGGGGAUGGACUCGCGGCUUAUCAGCUUGUUGGUGGGGUAGUGGCUUACCAAGGCUUUGACGGGUAGCCGGCCUGAGAGGGUGACCGGCCACAUGAGGACUGAGAUACGGCCCAGACGACUACGGGAGGCAGCAGUGGGGAAUAUUGCACAAUGGGCGGAAGCCUGAUGCAGAAACGCCGCGUGCGGGAUGACGGCCUUCGGGUUGUAAACCGCUUUCGCCUGUGACGAAGCGUGAGUGACGGUAAUGGGUAAAGAAGCACCGGCUAACUACGUG